UACGUAGGGGGCAAGCGUUGUCCGGAUUUAUUGGGCGUAAAGAGCUCGUAGGCGGUCUGUCGCGUCGGAUGUGAAAACCCAGGGCUCAACCCUGGGCCUGCAUUCGAUACGGGCAGACUAGAGUGUGGCAGGGGAGACUGGAAUUCCUGGUGUAGCGGUGAAAUGCGCAGAUAUCAGGAGGAACACCCAUGGCGAAGGCAGUAGACUGGGCAUCUCCUGACGCUGAGGCGCGAAAGCGUGGGUAGCAAACAGG
RNAcentral lists this ribosomal RNA (253 nucleotides) under uncultured bacterium. RNAcentral's name for it is "partial 16S ribosomal RNA". It matches the Rfam family "Bacterial small subunit ribosomal RNA", at positions 524 to 776 of the family's 1533-position model. The record is from RNAcentral.